Molecule: ribosomal RNA, 789 nt
Filed under: uncultured bacterium
Lineage: Bacteria
Description: bacterial SSU rRNA
Rfam family: Bacterial small subunit ribosomal RNA
Source: RNAcentral
GGGUGACUAGAGUGUNUCAGAGGGAGGUAGAAUUCCACGUGUAGCAGUGAAAUGCGUAGAGAUGUGGAGGAAUACCGAUGGCGAAGGCANCCUCCUGGGAUAACACUGACGUUCAUGCCCGAAAGCGUGGGUAGCAAACAGGAUUAGAUACCCUGGUAGUCCACGCCCUAAACGAUGUCGAUUAGCUGUUGGGCAGCAUGACUGCUUAGUAGCGAAGCUAACGCGUGAAAUCGACCGCCUGGGGAGUACGGUCGCAAGACUAAAACUCAAAGGAAUUGACGGGGACCCGCACAAGCGGUGGAUGAUGUGGAUUAAUUCGAUGCAACGCGAAGAACCUUACCUGGUCUUGACAUGUACGGAACCCUUCAGAGACGGAGGGGUGCCUUCGGGAGCCGUAACACAGGUGCUGCAUGGCUGUCGUCAGCUCGUGUCGUGAGAUGUUGGGUUAUGUCCCGCAACGAGCGCAACCCUUGUCAUUAGUUGCCAUCAUUAAGUUGGGCACUCUAAUGAGACUGCCGGUGACAAGCCGGAGGAAGGUGGGGAUGACGUCAAGUCCUCAUGGCCCUUAUGACCAGGGCUUCACACGUCAUACAAUGGUCGGUACAGAGGGUAGCCAAGCCGCGAGGCGGAGCCAAUCUCACAAAACCGAUCGUAGUCCGGAUUGCACUCUGCAACUCGAGUGCAUGAAGUCGGAAUCGCUAGUAAUCGCAGGUCAGCAUACUGCGGUGAAUACGUUCCCGGGACUUGUACACACCGCCCGUCACACCAUGGGAGUGGGGGAUACCAGAA